GGUUUGUUGCGGAUGGUUGGAUGUCUGCUUGCGCAGCAACUUCCAUGCGGGCUUACCUCUUCAAUUGUGCUACAAGCCUUGUUUGGCUUGCAGCGUUUGGUGGGUUUCUUGUGUUGCUUACCUAAUCGAUGGCAUUGUUUGUCCCUAUAAGUUAGAUUUUGUAACACGUUGCUUGCGGCGUGAUACAAACGAUGAAGCAACCUUUGUUGUUCAACCUGUUGCUGCUCAUGCAUCGAUGGCUUGGCCCAUGAAGUGUUGAUUGGUCCCUUGGAUAUGGAACAUGAUGUGGGCACAAGUUCGCCAAAGAUCUUGAAUUUGCCCUUAUCGAGUGAUUUAGCUUCUUUAAAUGACCGUCGUCCGUGUA
Molecule: unclassified non-coding RNA, 364 nt
Filed under: Tragopogon acanthocarpus
Lineage: Eukaryota; Viridiplantae; Streptophyta; Magnoliopsida; Asterales; Asteraceae
Description: partial external transcribed spacer
Source: RNAcentral